UUCUGUUGGAAAAGUUAUGGACAUUGAUCUUCAAAUCCCUAACUCUGUCAUUUAAUUGGGAUUAUGUGAGGUUUGUGGAAUCUGGAAAAUUGAAGCUUUGGAGAAGAGAUGAGCUACUGGGUCAGUUUCGAUUGAAAUCAAAUAAGGAAUUUGAAUGGUUGACAGUGGUGGAAUACAGCUACGGUGAGUUCGCUUCUAAUUUGGAGAAGAAAGGAACUAUUGGUUCAGUCAAAUUGGUAUCGGGAUUGAGGUCCGAAUGGGUUGAUGGUGGUGAAGUGCAGCUAUGUUAAAUCGACCACUAGUCUGGAAGUGAAGAAUGGUAAGGGCCUGGGUUUGGUGAUCUUAUAAUGUUGUGGUUAAACGAAAUAUUGAGUUGGUGGUGAUAUUGAUAUGUUGUUUAGUGGAAUGGGAUUGAUGUGAAACUGUCCUUGGUUGAUUUAAUUUAUUAGAGAGAUUAAUGUUGGAUUGGUGAUGAAUAAGAGUAGUUGCUCCAGACGGUAAACAAUGACAAUGUCUAUAACUAUCAUUCCGGAUACCACGGUUGUAAGAAAAGAAGUAAGAUGGUGAUUGUUAACAAAAAUGUAAAUUGCUCAAGUUCAUAAGGAAUUGGUAUCCGAAAUGAAGUUAUAUUGGCUAUUGAUCAUUGGGCCGAACUUAAUAAGAAAUUCGUUUAGUAAAUACUUUGACGAUUAA
Molecule: long non-coding RNA, 693 nt
Organism: Rosa rugosa (rugosa rose)
Lineage: Eukaryota; Viridiplantae; Streptophyta; Magnoliopsida; Rosales; Rosaceae
Exons: 3
Source: RefSeq, a predicted model, not a curated record